Molecule: ribosomal RNA, 2925 nt
Filed under: Escherichia coli
Lineage: Bacteria; Pseudomonadati; Pseudomonadota; Gammaproteobacteria; Enterobacterales; Enterobacteriaceae
Description: 23S ribosomal RNA
Rfam family: Bacterial large subunit ribosomal RNA
Source: RNAcentral
GGGUUGUGAGGUUAAGCGACUAAGCGUACACGGUGGAUGCCCUGGCAGUCAGAGGCGAUGAAGGACGUGCUAAUCUGCGAUAAGCGUCGGUAAGGUGAUAUGAACCGUUAUAACCGGCGAUUUCCGAAUGGGGAAACCCAGUGUGUUUCGACACACUAUCAUUAACUGAAUCCAUAGGUUAAUGAGGCGAACCGGGGGAACUGAAACAUCUAAGUACCCCGAGGAAAAGAAAUCAACCGAGAUUCCCCCAGUAGCGGCGAGCGAACGGGGAGGAGCCCAGAGUCUGAAUCAGUGUGUGUGUUAGUGGAAGCGUCUGGAAAGGCGCGCGAUACAGGGUGACAGCCCCGUACACAAAAAUGCACAUACUGUGAGCUCGAUGAGUAGGGCGGGACACGUGGUAUCCUGUCUGAAUAUGGGGGGACCAUCCUCCAAGGCUAAAUACUCCUGACUGACCGAUAGUGAACCAGUACCGUGAGGGAAAGGCGAAAAGAACCCCGGCGAGGGGAGUGAAAAAGAACCUGAAACCGUGUACGUACAAGCAGUGGGAGCACGCUUAGGCGUGUGACUGCGUACCUUUUGUAUAAUGGGUCAGCGACUUAUAUUCUGUAGCAAGGUUAACCGAAUAGGGGAGCCGAAGGGAAACCGAGUCUUAACUGGGCGUUAAGUUGCAGGGUAUAGACCCGAAACCCGGUGAUCUAGCCAUGGGCAGGUUGAAGGUUGGGUAACACUAACUGGAGGACCGAACCGACUAAUGUUGAAAAAUUAGCGGAUGACUUGUGGCUGGGGGUGAAAGGCCAAUCAAACCGGGAGAUAGCUGGUUCUCCCCGAAAGCUAUUUAGGUAGCGCCUCGUGAAUUCAUCUCCGGGGGUAGAGCACUGUUUCGGCAAGGGGGUCAUCCCGACUUACCAACCCGAUGCAAACUGCGAAUACCGGAGAAUGUUAUCACGGGAGACACACGGCGGGUGCUAACGUCCGUCGUGAAGAGGGAAACAACCCAGACCGCCAGCUAAGGUCCCAAAGUCAUGGUUAAGUGGGAAACGAUGUGGGAAGGCCCAGACAGCCAGGAUGUUGGCUUAGAAGCAGCCAUCAUUUAAAGAAAGCGUAAUAGCUCACUGGUCGAGUCGGCCUGCGCGGAAGAUGUAACGGGGCUAAACCAUGCACCGAAGCUGCGGCAGCGACGCUUAUGCGUUGUUGGGUAGGGGAGCGUUCUGUAAGCCUGUGAAGGUGUGCUGUGAGGCAUGCUGGAGGUAUCAGAAGUGCGAAUGCUGACAUAAGUAACGAUAAAGCGGGUGAAAAGCCCGCUCGCCGGAAGACCAAGGGUUCCUGUCCAACGUUAAUCGGGGCAGGGUGAGUCGACCCCUAAGGCGAGGCCGAAAGGCGUAGUCGAUGGGAAACAGGUUAAUAUUCCUGUACUUGGUGUUACUGCGAAGGGGGGACGGAGAAGGCUAUGUUGGCCGGGCGACGGUUGUCCCGGUUUAAGCGUGUAGGCUGGUUUUCCAGGCAAAUCCGGAAAAUCAAGGCUGAGGCGUGAUGACGAGGCACUACGGUGCUGAAGCAACAAAUGCCCUGCUUCCAGGAAAAGCCUCUAAGCAUCAGGUAACAUCAAAUCGUACCCCAAACCGACACAGGUGGUCAGGUAGAGAAUACCAAGGCGCUUGAGAGAACUCGGGUGAAGGAACUAGGCAAAAUGGUGCCGUAACUUCGGGAGAAGGCACGCUGAUAUGUAGGUGAAGUCCCUUGCGGAUGGAGCUGAAAUCAGUCGAAGAUACCAGCUGGCUGCAACUGUUUAUUAAAAACACAGCACUGUGCAAACACGAAAGUGGACGUAUACGGUGUGACGCCUGCCCGGUGCCGGAAGGUUAAUUGAUGGGGUCAGCGCAAGCGAAGCUCUUGAUCGAAGCCCCGGUAAACGGCGGCCGUAACUAUAACGGUCCUAAGGUAGCGAAAUUCCUUGUCGGGUAAGUUCCGACCUGCACGAAUGGCGUAAUGAUGGCCAGGCUGUCUCCACCCGAGACUCAGUGAAAUUGAACUCGCUGUGAAGAUGCAGUGUACCCGCGGCAAGACGGAAAGACCCCGUGAACCUUUACUAUAGCUUGACACUGAACAUUGAGCCUUGAUGUGUAGGAUAGGUGGGAGGCUUUGAAGUGUGGACGCCAGUCUGCAUGGAGCCGACCUUGAAAUACCACCCUUUAAUGUUUGAUGUUCUAACGUGGACCCGUGAUCCGGGUUGCGGACAGUGUCUGGUGGGUAGUUUGACUGGGGCGGUCUCCUCCUAAAGAGUAACGGAGGAGCACGAAGGUUGGCUAAUCCUGGUCGGACAUCAGGAGGUUAGUGCAAUGGCAUAAGCCAGCUUGACUGCGAGCGUGACGGCGCGAGCAGGUGCGAAAGCAGGUCAUAGUGAUCCGGUGGUUCUGAAUGGAAGGGCCAUCGCUCAACGGAUAAAAGGUACUCCGGGGAUAACAGGCUGAUACCGCCCAAGAGUUCAUAUCGACGGCGGUGUUUGGCACCUCGAUGUCGGCUCAUCACAUCCUGGGGCUGAAGUAGGUCCCAAGGGUAUGGCUGUUCGCCAUUUAAAGUGGUACGCGAGCUGGGUUUAGAACGUCGUGAGACAGUUCGGUCCCUAUCUGCCGUGGGCGCUGGAGAACUGAGGGGGGCUGCUCCUAGUACGAGAGGACCGGAGUGGACGCAUCACUGGUGUUCGGGUUGUCAUGCCAAUGGCACUGCCCGGUAGCUAAAUGCGGAAGAGAUAAGUGCUGAAAGCAUCUAAGCACGAAACUUGCCCCGAGAUGAGUUCUCCCUGACUCCUUGAGAGUCCUGAAGGAACGUUGAAGACGACGACGUUGAUAGGCCGGGUGUGUAAGCGCAGCGAUGCGUUGAGCUAACCGGUACUAAUGAACCGUGAGGCUUAACCUUACAACGCCGAAG